This is a non-coding RNA of Acanthosepion pharaonis, 113 nucleotides long. NCBI's taxonomy places the organism in Eukaryota, Metazoa, Mollusca, Cephalopoda, Sepiida, Sepiidae. The record is from the annotation of a GenBank genome assembly.
CCGGUCAAAUCACGCUGAAAACACCGGUUCUCGUUCGAUCACCGAAGUUAAGCAUCGUAGAGCCAGGUCAGUACUUAGAUGGGGGACCGCUUGGGAACACCUGGUACUGUAAG